UUGAACUGAAGAGUUUGAUCAUGGCUCAGAUUGAACGCUGGCGGCAGGCCUAACACAUGCAAGUCGAGCGGAUGAAGGGAGCUUGCUUCUGGAUUCAGCGGCGGACGGGUGAGUAAUGCCUAGGAAUCUGCCUGGUAGUGGGGGACAA
This 148-nucleotide ribosomal RNA is filed under the name Pseudomonas citronellolis. RNAcentral's name for it is "16S rRNA. Bacterial SSU". It matches the Rfam family "Bacterial small subunit ribosomal RNA", at positions 1 to 146 of the family's 1533-position model. The record is from RNAcentral. Lineage: Bacteria; Pseudomonadati; Pseudomonadota; Gammaproteobacteria; Pseudomonadales; Pseudomonadaceae.